RNAcentral lists this unclassified non-coding RNA (240 nucleotides) under soil metagenome. RNAcentral describes it as "partial contains 5.8S ribosomal RNA, internal transcribed spacer 2, and large subunit ribosomal RNA". The record is from RNAcentral.
AACGGUCUAUACCUGCGGUACCUGCGGAGGGAUCAUUACAUGGCGGAGAAGGUGGGCAACCUGGCCAACAUCCAGGUUGUGAUGCCUUCACGCUCCUCCACCCUUGUCUAUUUGCACCUUCUGUCGUUCCCUCGGCGGGUUUCGACCCGCCGGCGGCAACAUUGAAAAACCCUUUUUGCAGUUAGCAUUCAAUUCUUCUGAUCAAAUAUUAAAUCAUUACAACUUUCAACAAUGGAUCUC